Molecule: ribosomal RNA, 467 nt
Filed under: uncultured bacterium
Lineage: Bacteria
Description: bacterial SSU rRNA
Rfam family: Bacterial small subunit ribosomal RNA
Source: RNAcentral
UCCUACGGGAGGCAGCAGUGGGGAAUAUUGCACAAUGGGGGGAACCCUGAUGCAGCCAUGCCGCGUGAAUGAAGAAGGCCUUCGGGUUGUAAAGUUCUUUCGGUGAUGAGGAAGGUGUUUUGUUUAAUAGACAAGGCAAUUGACGUUAGUCACAGAAGAAGCACCGGCUAACUCCGUGCCAGCAGCCGCGGUAAUACGGAGGGUGCGAGCGUUAAUCGGAAUAACUGGGCGUAAAGGGCACGCAGGCGGAUUGUUAAGUGAGAUGUGAAAGCCCCGAGCAUAACUUGGGAAUUGCAUUUCAGACUGGCAGUCUAGAGUAUUUUAGGGAGGGGUAGAAUUCCACGUGUAGCGGUGAAAUGCGUAGAGAUGUGGAGGAAUACCGAAGGCGAAGGCAGCCCCUUGGGAAUAUACUGACGCUCAUGUGCGAAAGCGUGGGGAGCAAACAGGAUUAGAUACCCUGGUAGUCC